CCCUUAGAUGUUCUGGGCCGCACGCGCGCUACACUGAUGCAUUCAACGAGUGUACCUUGGCCGAGAGGCCUGGGCAAUCUUUUGAACGUGCAUCGUGAUAGGGAUAGAUUAUUGCAAUUAUUAAUCUUGAACGAGGAAUUCCUAGUAAACGCAGAUCAUCAAUCUGCAUUGAUUACGUCCCUGCCCUUUGUACACACCGCCCGUCGCACCUACCGUUUGGAUGGUCCGGUGAAGCCUCGGGAUUGUGGCGGUUGCCUUUAUUGGUGGCCGCCGCGAGAACUUGUCUAAACCUUAUCAUCUAGAGGAAGGUGAAGUCGUAACA
RNAcentral lists this ribosomal RNA (322 nucleotides) under uncultured eukaryote. RNAcentral describes it as "partial 18S ribosomal RNA". It matches the Rfam family "Eukaryotic small subunit ribosomal RNA", at positions 1470 to 1796 of the family's 1831-position model. The record is from RNAcentral.